This 970-nucleotide small RNA is filed under the name uncultured Gemmatimonas sp. RNAcentral's name for it is "bacterial SSU rRNA". The stretch from base 1 to 472 matches the Rfam family "Bacterial small subunit ribosomal RNA", at positions 1064 to 1533 of the family's 1533-position model. The record is from RNAcentral. Lineage: Bacteria; Pseudomonadati; Gemmatimonadota; Gemmatimonadia; Gemmatimonadales; Gemmatimonadaceae.
GUCGUGAGAUGUUGGGUUAAGUCCCGCAACGAGCGCAACCCCCGCUCCCAGUUGCCAGCGCGUUAUGGCGGGGACUCUGGGAGGACUGCCGGUGCCAAACCGGAGGAAGGUGGGGACGACGUCAAGUCAUCAUGGUCCUUACGUCUAGGGCUACACACGUGCUACAAUGGGUCGGACAGUGGGGGCCGAGGCAGCAAUGCCAAGGCAAUCCCAAAACCGAUCCUCAGUUCGGAUUGUCGUCUGCAACUCGACGGCAUGAAGCUGGAAUCGCUAGUAAUCGUGGAUCAGCAUCGCCACGGUGAAUACGUUCCCGGGCCUUGUACACACCGCCCGUCACGCCAUGGAAGCUGCGAGUGCCCGAAGUCGGUGCCGGAACCCUUACGGGGCCAAGCCGCCGAGGGCAAGCGUAGUGACUGGGGCGAAGUCGUAACAAGGUAGCCGUAGGGGAACCUGCGGCUGGAUCACCUCCUUAACGGAGAAGCGAGUAGAACUGGCGCAAGCCAAAUCGAAAACUCUCACGUAGUUCGCUCGCCUCGUAACAUCCUUGAUCUCAACUCCGAUUUGUUUUUUUUCUCGCUCGACAGGUGUCGAAGCCUCUCGAGCGAAUUUCGCGCCCUCGUCACUCAGAAAAUCGAGAGGAUGUAGGAGCCAAGUUUUUUGACAACGGAUGUUAGUAGUGAUCGUGGGAUUCGAUGUUCGAGACCUGAUAAGAUCUCGAGCGUCAAGAAUCAACACUGAUUCAAUUUCGUCGUGCGUCGAAGAGGGAAACCGAUUCGACAAAACGAGCAAGAUUGAUUCAUUCGUAGAUUGCGCGUUGUAAGUUUUUUUUAUGUUGUUUUGCUUUGAGACAGAAAUCUGAUCAAGCGAAAGAAGGUAUGUGGGGGAUGCCUGGGUACACGGAGGCGAAGAAGGCCGUGGUAAGCUGCGAUAAGCCAGGGGGAGCGGCACACACGCUACGAUCCCUGGAUGG